This is a long non-coding RNA of Calliphora vicina (urban bluebottle blowfly), 124 nucleotides long. RefSeq lists it as uncharacterized. The transcript has 2 exons. Lineage: Eukaryota; Metazoa; Arthropoda; Insecta; Diptera; Calliphoridae. The record is from RefSeq and is a predicted model, not a curated record.
UUUACAGCGUAUACUUUUAUAAGAAAUAAACAAAUUAUUAUUUCAUUACAAUUUACAAAAGGUAAAUCAAAUUUAAUCUCAUAAAUAUUAUAAACUAUGGUAAGCGUAUUUAAAUAAAUUUAAA